RNA transcript from Melospiza georgiana, 3280 nucleotides. It is a transcript of the gene named phosphoinositide-3-kinase regulatory subunit 6, with no coding region annotated. The transcript has 21 exons. NCBI's taxonomy places the organism in Eukaryota, Metazoa, Chordata, Aves, Passeriformes, Passerellidae. The record is from RefSeq and is a predicted model, not a curated record.
CGCAGGACGCGCCGGAGCUGGAGCCGCUGCCGAUGGUACCGGUGCGACGCCCCCCGGCUGGGAACGGGGCGGCGGGCAGGGCUGAGGGCCAUGCCCCAGCGCCGUGAGCAGCCCCGCGCUGGUGCCCCAGGAGCUGCAGCCCGGCCCGGCCAUGGACAGCUCAGAGCUGGAGUCGGACAUCCUGCGGCGGGUGCGGGCGCUGCUGCGGGAGCUGGACGGGCACCACCCGUCCUGCCAGAGCGACCGAGGAAUGCUGCGCUGGACCCUGCACAAGAGAAUGGACCAGAACCCCAGAACCAGCGGUGUCCUGGUCAGCAUCCUGGUGAAGGAGCUGGAGAGGGCAGAGCGAGGGGACCUGCGGCACUACAUCAUCCCCCUGCUGCACACGCUGAUGUACACCUUGAUCCAGGCUCCCUGCAUCCCUGACGAGCUCUGUGCCAGGGUUUAUGACUUCUGCAAGAGGCUGCUGACCCUGCCCAAGCCCUUCUGCACCAUCGGGCUGGACUAUGCCAGCAGGCUGCAGCUGGAGAGGGCAGCCCCAGGGACCCUGUACCAAAGGAUGGUCAUCUCCGAGCAGAGCCUGCACAGCGCCGCCUUCCCCUGCCACGAGAGGAUUUUCAUCUUUGCUGACCCCGAGCUGCUGCCCGAAGCCAUCUGCGGGGCUCUGGCCAUGGACACCGAGGCUGCCCAGGUGUCGCAGAGCCCGCGGGGCUCCAUGAGCUGCGUGGUCACCCACGCCCUGCAGGCGGCCCUGGGGGACACCUGCGACACCUCCGGCCUCCGGGCCCGCCUCCAGGCCCUGUCCCCGGGGGACCUGGAGCACUGGUUCCAGCAGGUGGUGUUGGCCGUGGAGGGCAGCCAGGGGGGCUCAGAGCGGGGCCAGCACACGGCGCGGCUGGAGAGGAUCUACCACAGCCUUAUGGGCUCCUCUCCUGCAGGGAAUGAUCCCCAGGAAGGGCUGCAGGGCACCCCUCUGCCCAGCCCCAACAUCAGCUUCCACCUGUGGACAGAGGAUGAGCAGCUCUGGAAGGAGCUGGUGCUGUUCCUGCGGCCGCUGUCGCAGAGCUGCGAGCCCGAGUGCCCGGGGCAGGAGCUGGAGGCCCUGGAGAUGCCGGACCCGCUGCCGGGCUGCGGCUGCUGCGGCCAGAGCCGCUUCUCGGUGCUGUCCACGGACAGCGGCAUCGAGCGCGACCUGCCCGCGCCGGAGGAGCCGUGCGAGCGCUCCCGGCUGCACAGGAAGGGCGGCAUCAAGAAGAAGCCGUCCCCGCUGGACAGCGCGGCCCUGCUGCAGGCCGGCGGCGGCAAGGGCCCCGGGAAGGGCCCCGGGAGGGCGGGGGCGCCCCCCGAGCCCGCGGCCCCGCUGCAGAGGCCGCGCACCGCCCGCGUGGUGCUGCUGGGCGACGACCGCGUCCUGGGCCGCCUGGCACGAGCCUUCCACUCGCUCAGGAAGCGAGAAGCCCGCCGAGUGUUCCUGACGCCCCGGCUGGACCUGCAGUUCUACCACAUCCCCGUGGUGCCGGGGCAGCCCCAACCCUCGGCGGCUGCUGAACACGCUGACCCUGAGGAGCUGUGUGAGGUGGCCGGGUACCUGGGCAGGGCUGACCCCUGGUACGAGAGCAACAUCAACACCCUGGGCCACAUGAUCCCCAAGCUGGCCACCAUGCCCAGCAGGGCCCUGGUGACCGACCCGUUCCUCACCGACGUCAUCGCCUACUACGCCCGCAUGGGCACGCAGCCCGUCUGCUUCCAGGUGCACUCUGUCAAGGUGCUGUUCCAGGACCCAGCCCAGGAGCCAGCUGAGGACGUGUUCCUGACGGAGCUGCUGACCCAGGUGCAGGACAGCCCCUCCCACAGAGAGCUGAGCACGACCAAGAGGAAAAGCACCCUGGAUGGGCCUGGCAUGGACCUCACAGUGACCUGCAGGAGGGUCGUGCUCAGUGAGCGGCAGAAGGAGCUGGCGCUGUCCCUGCGCUCCACGGGCCUGCUGAUGAAAGCCCUCCCUGCAGAGGAGGCUGCAGGCCAGGGCUGCCUCACCGUGACCGUCACUGAAAUCAUCAGGACCAGCAACUUGGCAGGACGCUCGUUCUCAGCUGUGGCACACAGGUUCAGAACUCGCAGCAUCAAGGUCAGGAGCCCAGAGCAGAGACCCUUCACUGUGCGGCUGGACAAGGACAGCAGGAGAACCUACAGGGACGUGAUUGGCCUGGAGGUGUCUCCCUGCCUCGAGCCCAGCUACUGCCUGCAGAAGACGAGGACCACGAAAUGCAGCCCUGAGGAAACAGAGGACGUGGGGCUGGUGAAAUACCUGCCCAAGUCUCUGCUGCUGCCCAUCAACACUUUCGCAGGAGUCAUCCCCUGAAGGGGACAGGAAAAGGUGCUGCGGGUUACGAUGUGGGGCCAGCACAGAGCACACGGGGAGAGAAAACUCUGAAAGCCGCCAGGGGGGACUUUACAUGGCAAUGGUGGGGAAAGCAGACGUGAAUGGGCUCGGAGGGCACAGCCCUGCCCUGUGACAUGUGUGACAAUUGCUGACAACCCCUGCCAAGGACACAGCCCUGCUGGUGACCGUGUGACAGUGUGACAGUGUGACACUGGCCCCAUGCCCCUGCCAAGGGCACAGCCCUGCCCUGUGACAUGUGACAGUGUGACACUGGCCCCAUGCCCCUGCCAAAGGAACAACCCUGCCCUGUGACAGUGUGACCAUGCCAAGGGCACAGCCAUGCCACAGGACUGAGCUUUCACCUUUUACAUAGGUCAGGGAAAAGCUCGGAGCUCUCCAUUCAGGAAGAACAAGGCAGAUCCGUGGGAGGUGGCGUUGCCUGUCCUGGGGAGCCCAGGGCAGCCGGCAGCAGCAAUGUUCCCUUUGGAGAUGUCUCACAGCCCAGCAGGACUCAGCUUUUCACCUCACAAGCUCUGUGCCAGACUGGGGCAUCAAACAUUGUGCCUCGAUGGAAGCUGAGGAGCAGCAGGAGCUCUCGGGCACCUCAGGAAACCUCUGCACGAGCAGCUGCUGUUUUUGGGAUCGUGUGGGCUUUAAGGGGCGACCCCUCUGCACCCCUCUGCCUCCUCAGGGCUUCCCUGUGGGGUUUGCACGCACAGAGAAAAGGCUCAGAAAGCCAAAAGGCUUGGAGCUGGGCUGGGGUGUGGGCUGGAGCCCAGAGUUUGUUCUGUACAGCUGUAAUUUAUGUAGAUGGAUGAUAAAUUAUUUGUAUAGGUGUCACGGAUGACUUGCACCGGAGGGUGCAAUCCUUUCAGUGCCAAUUGAAAGAAAUUAAGACAA